AUGGGAACAGCACGGCCGCAAAUCUGACUCGCCCGCACGGGCUCCGGGAUUGCGGUAGUGU
Regulatory RNA element from Halococcus saccharolyticus DSM 5350, 61 nucleotides. It matches the Rfam family "S15-Halobacteria ribosomal protein leader". The record is from Rfam. Lineage: Archaea; Methanobacteriati; Methanobacteriota; Halobacteria; Halobacteriales; Halococcaceae.